RNAcentral lists this ribosomal RNA (253 nucleotides) under uncultured bacterium. RNAcentral describes it as "partial 16S ribosomal RNA". It matches the Rfam family "Bacterial small subunit ribosomal RNA", at positions 524 to 776 of the family's 1533-position model. The record is from RNAcentral.
UACGAAGGGGGCUAGCGUUGCUCGGAAUCACUGGGCGUAAAGCGCACGUAGGCGGACUCUUAAGUCAGGGGUGAAAUCCUGGAGCUCAACUCCAGAACUGCCUUUGAUACUGGGAGUCUUGAGUUCGGGAGAGGUGAGUGGAACUGCGAGUGUAGAGGUGAAAUUCGUAGAUAUUCGCAAGAACACCAGUGGCGAAGGCGGCUCACUGGCCCGAUACUGACGCUGAGGUGCGAAAGCGUGGGGAGCAAACAAG